This 2319-nucleotide long non-coding RNA is filed under the name Mus musculus (house mouse). RNAcentral's name for it is "long non-coding RNA chr6:30052231-30054550". Lineage: Eukaryota; Metazoa; Chordata; Mammalia; Rodentia; Muridae. The record is from RNAcentral.
UUUUUUUUUUCGAGACAGGGUUUCUCUGUGUAGCCUUGGCUGUCCUGAAACUCACUCUGUAGACCAGGCUGGCCUUGAACUCAGAAAUCCGCCUGCCUCUGCCUCCCAAGUGCUGGGAUUAAAGGUGGGUGCCACCACCGCCCAGCGAGAAAGUAAAAUUUUGGACUCUGCCAGGAAAUUAAAUGGAUUAUACCUUUACCCCAUACAGUUCAGAAUUAGGCUACUGUCUGUCAGUCUCUCUCUUGGAUGUACUUAGCAAGAUUUGAGGCUUCAUCAUGAGGUGGUCAUGCCUUAGCUGUCCUAAUGUGUUCACACUUAAUAGACAUUAAACCACUUUUGAACUGAAGAAAAACUAAAUGUUUAACUUUUUGGAGAUACUUACACACAUUUAAAAAAAAAAACCAAAACAAGUUCCAUGUGGCUGACUUACUGCAUGCUGUCCCUUAAGACACUCAUCAGGGUCUUAGAAGAUCACCCUGACAGAGGGGUCUCCUGUUUUGCCUAGCUCAGAGUUUUGUGCUUAAAACUUCGCCUGCUACCACAGCAUCACAUAAUUUCUUGAUGUAGGCAAAGCCAUAUUUAGUAAGGGCCUGUGUUUGUAGGCAUCUGUGUGCAUGAUUAGAUUGAUCACUGAUUUUAGGAGGGAGAAUAAUUUUUCAAAGAAGCUACAGGAGCUAUUCUUUGUAUGGGUCAUCUGCUCGGUGAUUUCAGCUACUUGUGGAAAUUGUUUUGCUUGGUAUAUAGGUGACGUAUGUAUUCAGGCUUGCGUCAACAAGAUGGCUCAGUAGGUAAAUAUAUAUUUUUUUAAGUUUAGUCUUUGUUUCAGAUGUGCAAAGUUUGGCUAAUAAUCUAAGUAGAUAUUUUCUUGGCAUCUUUUUAAGCAGUGCCUGUUGGAUAAACUAUACUGAGCCUUUUCCAGAAUGCCUUCGAAGAGUGAGCUUUGUAUGCAUUUGUUCAGACCAUGUUUUAAGGAGCCUACACUUUACUGUUGGCAUUGUAAGCUUUUUAGAACUUAGGAGAGUGCUGCUGUUGCUGCUGCUGCAUGUUAAUGUGGUCAGGCUGGCAGCUAACCUACAAAGAACAAGAGGAAGUGAGGAAAUGUCUCUGCAAAACACUGCUUAAAGCUAUUUAAGCAGUGGACUAGAAAUGGGGAGCAGGAAACACAGAGCUGGAUUCUUGUUUUAUGUUUGAAAGUGGGUGAGGCCAUGUCCUCCAUUGAGGAUUUAAGCCCCUUGAGUGUGUCCUCACUUUCAGAGUUUUGCCCUUGUCAAACAUUAAAGAUGAGUUUCUAGGCCCUUACAAGAUACCUGAGUCACAAAAUUUGGGCCUUAUAUUGGAGUGGAAAAAUGAGCUUGACUCUUCUAUAACUUGUAGAAAAUAAGAAAGGGUAAAAAAAAGGGAGGAAUUAGUUUUUGGGGAGGGACCAUGACAAAGGGAAAACAAAUUAGGGAGGGUUAUGUGUAUUAAGUAGAGUCUCAGGACUUACAGACAGGAGGGAGGCCAGCAGUCAUGCACCUUGAGAAACAGCAAGUGGAUUUAACUUGUACUUGGAGUGUGGAAGACAAAGUUUUCUUGGGAAAGUUUGGGAAGUUGGUAAUCAGCACUCACGAGUGCAGCAUAGGUCUCAUCUCUAGGCCUGCGGCGGGGGUGGGGGGUGCUAAGGCAUUCAGGAGAUCUAGCAUUCUGUCCAUAACUUUGUACUGGUGGUGCUGAGUGUUGAGUCCUAGCCCUUGGACCUGCUGGUCAAGCACUGUGCCACUCAGCAGCAUCUCUAGUACUCACUGGGUUUUUAAAGAUUGACACGAACAUUAGAUUGGAAAUGUUUGAGACUUUGGGGUUGUACUGUCACUGGAGACAAUUGCUGGGGACUAUGUGAUUUGUGUGACCAUUGACUAUAAGGAGUUAGGUCUGUAAUCCAGUUAGUGGAUGUUCUCCCUUAAGGUAGAGAACAUGUAAGAACAACUAGAUUGGAGGAAGAAUGUAGUGUGCUGAGCUCUGUGGGAAUUGACUGUAACUCAAGGAGAUUUGGGAAUGGAGCAGAUUGAUGAUUUUCACUCAUCAACUAAUGUCACAGAGAAUUGUGAGAUGUACAAUCAAGAGUGAAGAAAAAAACACUUUUUAAAAAGACUUAUUUAUUAUAUGUAAGUACACUGUGGCUGUCUUCAGACACUCCAGAAGAGGGCAUCAGAUUUCAUUAUGGUUGGUUAUGAGCCACCAUGUGGUUGCUGGGAUUUGAACUCAAGACCUUCAGAAGAACAGUCAGUGCUCUUAACUGCUGAGCCAUCUCAUCUCUCCAGCCCCCGGGAAAAAAAAAAAACC